UUAAAUUGAAGAGUUUGAUCAUGGCUCAGAUUGAACGCUGGCGGCAGGCCUAACACAUGCAAGUCGAACGGUAACAGGAAGCAGCUUGCUGCUUUGCUGACGAGUGG
RNAcentral lists this ribosomal RNA (107 nucleotides) under Escherichia coli. RNAcentral's name for it is "partial 16S ribosomal RNA". It matches the Rfam family "Bacterial small subunit ribosomal RNA", at positions 1 to 105 of the family's 1533-position model. The record is from RNAcentral. Lineage: Bacteria; Pseudomonadati; Pseudomonadota; Gammaproteobacteria; Enterobacterales; Enterobacteriaceae. RNAcentral also lists the same sequence under 11 other names.